RNAcentral lists this long non-coding RNA (1002 nucleotides) under Chloebia gouldiae (Gouldian finch). Its description in RNAcentral is "Erythrura gouldiae (Gouldian finch) lncRNA (ENSEGOG00005008036.1)". The record is from RNAcentral. Lineage: Eukaryota; Metazoa; Chordata; Aves; Passeriformes; Passeridae.
AAAACAUUUUGGGGAGCUCACAAAUGGGUAAAUUUAAAGCAAAUCUUGUGAGAUUGGAUGUCCAAAUGCGAGCCUGGCAAUUAACCCCCUCCUCAAUCUUCUGCAGCAAAAAUCACCAGUUUGGUGCAAUAAAAAUGUAUAUAAAAGCUGCAGCAGCCCCUCUGGUAAAUCACAGCUGGGAAUAUUUGCAGUAAUUUUAUUUUGGAGCUUUUUUUUUUUCCCUGUUGGGAUGCCAGUGGUUGCAGCAGAGCCUUUCCCAGGAGAGCUGGGCUGGGAGCCUGGAGCACUGGUGGGGGCUGGGAUUUACAUUUGCUCUCUUCUGGCUUUAAUUAGAUCCAGCACAGGGUGUAGGGAAGCAGGGAUUGGUUCUGGGAUGGGCUGGGACACUGACCCAGCCAGGAUGUUGGAAACCCACCCGGGAUUUCCUGGGACUCUUGACACCUCCAGCAAUACUGACUCCCUUCCAAAUGCCCUUUCUGGGAAGGAAUUUUCCCUCCCACCCAUCCUAAACCUGCCCUGGUACAUCUUGGGGCCGUUUCCUCUCAUCCUGUUGUUCCUUGGGAGCAGAGCCUGGCUCCAGCCUCCUUCCAGAGCGAAAACUCCCCCGUGGAGUUUGGAACGGGGAGAAGACAAAAGUUGGGAAGGAAUCUUUGCGUUCCUGCUGCCCAAGCUCAGGGUGGGUCCACCUGAGAGGGAAAUGUUCCUCAUGGGAUGCCUGCUGGGCUCUGGGGAGAUGUGGAAGGCUGGAAAAGCAAUUCCCUGUAAACAGCACACUGCCACUUCCUUCCCCUGCCCAGAGAGGAAAUUCCUUCCCCUCAAGAAAGGGAUUCUCCUCCGUGCUCCAGAAACUUCCUUUCUCUUCCCACCGUGUUCAGAUGUGGCUGGGGAAAAGGAGAAACCCUCCCUUAUUCCCACUUGAAACUUCAUUUUGUGAAACAAAAUCCUUGGAUGUCACCUUGGGACUUCACUUGGGGCACCAGCGGCAUCCCAAAUCGAGCAGAA